CUGCAGUCAAGUCAAAUUCAGUUCCCGUCU
RNAcentral lists this non-coding RNA (30 nucleotides) under Cricetulus griseus (Chinese hamster). The record is from RNAcentral. Lineage: Eukaryota; Metazoa; Chordata; Mammalia; Rodentia; Cricetidae.